GAUUUUCUACUUAAAUAUCUUUAUUUUUUCAGGUAUAUGAAGACGGUUAUACAGUAAACAAGACAGACAGGAAGGACCACAUAGGGAACACUAAGAGCUACCAUGAGGAAAAUGGAAUUAAAAACAGAUAUUACAUGAUGAGCAGCAGCAAUAGCCAAUCAGAAUGCAUUAUACCUAACCAGAGUUACAGAAUGAAAUUGUCUCCCAAUGGUCAGAAAAGAAGCUGGACUUUUUGUAUAGGCAUUAUUUUCAUGAUUUUAGUUGCUACUGUGUUAGCAGUGACAAAUUUUAAACAGAAACAUGUGCUAAAAAUAGAUGUUCCAGAAAAUGCAGUAAUAAGAAGAAUUCGUUCUUACUCUGUAAACCCUGACUUAUCAGCGAUAGCUCUAAAUAGUAGCAGUAUGACGUUGGUUACUAGAGUCCAGUUGCUACAAACUUCAUGUCUAACUGACAAGUCUCUAUGUGAGACCUACGCUAUGUGUGAUACAGACUUGGGUUACAUGACCUGUAGAUGUAAACGAGGGUUCUAUGUCAAAGACAGGAAAUGCAGAGCAUGUGCCACAUCAUGCCCAGAUGGUUAUUACAUGUCACGAGCCUGUACAUCCAGUAGUGAUGUCAUUUGUAGGCCAUGUUCUACGUGUACUGGAGCCUCUUAUGAAGUGGCAUCAUGCAGCAGUACACAGGAUACCAUCUGUGUUGGAGCAGCAUUUCCUGUACAAGAUGUUAAAUGGAAUAAAUUGAUUAAACAAUCAGCUGGUACUGAGGUCUCAUUGACAUCAUCCCAAAAUGUAUUCCAUGAAAAAAUAGGAGGAAUAAAGAAGUUGGAUGUCUCUAUGUACAUACCAAACAAUGCACAGAUUCAGGAGUUUGACUUCCAACGAGAAGCAGGUCUACACAUCAAGAUAAAGGUUUCCAGUCUGUAUCUGGUACCCCAGUAUAUUGAUUUAGAUCAUGAAGAUGAUUUCAAGUUCAUAGAUAGAGAUAGGUUCCAGUUGGAAAAAGCAAAGAAACAGUACAGGGCUAUUAAAAAGGAUUUCUGUAGGCAUCAGUUACCAGAUCAUUACAAACUGGUAUUGUACAUCACACGUAACCAUACCUCUGCUGCUAAUGCGGUCAAGUGUAACUCACAUGACCCUGACAUACCAGCAUGCCCUGAUGGAUAUAAGGACGGUGAUACCUACCUCAACAGACAAAUCAAUACGGAAUGUCCAUAUGAAAGAAAUCAAUAUUUUGAGAGAUUUGAACACAGAAAGAAUAAUAUCUAUUGUACACAUACAACCUCCUUGUUUAUGGAUACUUUUGGACUUAUACCAGAGGAGAUCAGUAAUUUUACCUACCCCACAGAAGACUGUCACAAGACAACAGAGGACUGUAAUAAAUGUUUGAUGUCUCCAAACUGUCGUUCAUAUGAAGGUCAGUGUUGUGAUAUAAAUUGUUACACACAAAGAAGCUGUCAGAAGUCUUUCAGUGAUGAUUGUCCUAAAAAGCCUGUGGAAUGUGCUUCUGGUGAUAUUCAUAAUUUUGUCUUGGAGCCGGUGUUCUCGUCAGUAAAUGAUAGAUUCUUGUGUCACUUGAAGUACAAGAAACCACGACAUUUAUACCAAAUGGAAUACACAGUGCGUAUGCUAGGGAUAGACUACACCCUUCCAAAAAGGGUCAAAUUCGCUAAGGGUGAUAUAUCCUUCAACGAGAGAGGGGUGUUUACAUCAGAGUUUAUUAAAGCAUCACACUAUUCUUUUCCAAAAAUAAGUGAUGAAAUUAUUCUUAUUGGUUCUGAGAAUGAUAAAAUAACACACAGGCCAACCAAAUUUCAAGUGCAUGGAUUGAAAAAACCACAUGAUUUUAAUAAGAGGAAGAAGUUCAGGGUACGUCCACACAGAUCAAGUCUUGGAUUAAGUAAUGUUUACUCUACAAACAUCCAGGUGGAGCGGCCAUUUAUGUAUAGUUCUUCUACUUUCUCAAAAGGUGGUUGUAUUGAGAAGAAUUUCUCCGAUAUUUAUCCUCCACAACCACUCUACGGACCAUCUAGCAUCCGUGUGGAUCCAUCAAUAACUAUAACAGGAGCUGGAAUUGAGUAUGAGACACCAGUAUAUAACAUUACUAGAUCAGCCUAUAUUAGAAUGUUUAUUGAUAAUUCUUCCAUUUUGACUCACUUCAAAGAUGAUCUGCCAAAAUCAGUCUUAGAUGGAAGUUCUGUGUCUGGUGGAUUAGUGUGGAAUCCUAAAACAGGCUUGUGGACUAUAAAAGUACAAGGGAAACUACAGUCUUGUCCAGGAUAUCUGACCGUUGAUAUGUAUGACCAGUUUAUGGAAGGAAAAUUGGCUCAUUUCGAUGUGUUUGUCAAAUGUCCUGUAGAAUUUCAUUUGACCUUCGACCUGAAGACACCAAAUACAGACUUGCCAAAUGUGUUUGUUGCUCGGAUUAAUGAUUCUUACAUCAGUCACUAUGUUUUAUUGUCUAUGAUGCAUCCACCAUUUUAUCCACCUUCAGAGUAUCCUCUAACUGAGUCAACAAAUCAGUUGUACCAGUUUCCAUGGCUACCCAUCAUUGCUACAUUGAUCAUAACAUCCAUUGUUUUCUCAGCAUUUGUUGCAGCCUUUUUGGUAAUCAAAAGACAGCGACCAAUUCAAACUCCAGAGGUCAAGAAAUACAUUAGUCCACAGACGACCACCUAUAUUGGUGCUAAAGAUGAUGAGAGAAAUGUCAACCAACCUUUGACCUUGACCUUGUUUUCAAAACCAGUUUCAAAACAUGUGUCAUGUACAUUAUGUACACUAUAUAUUGUGUAUGCCUUUAUGUUCACAUUUUCGAUGUUUUUAGGAGUGUUCUAUUUAGUCCAGGGACCUCUUGUUAGUAAUUUAACAAUUGUAUCAAAUACUAGUGCAAAAAUUCAUGAAUCUGUUAGCAGUCAUAUGGCCAAAAUCAGUCAAUACGAAGACCAGGAACUAGUCAAUGCAUUCAAUGGAACAUUUAAUCGUAUGAGAGCUUGCUCAGCACAUCUUAAACAGGAUGUAGCAAGAAUAGAUAAAUCCAUCAGAAAAAAUGUUCAGGAUGUUUUAAAUAAGUUUUAUAGUGGUCAGGGUUUAGUAAAAACUGCUAUAGAUAUUAGCAUAACUGAAAAAUCAAAACUAAUUGCUGAUAAAUUUCAGAAAUUUUUAACUGAAACUGACUCUGUGUUAGAUAAACAUUUUGAUAAUACACAGGGAAAGUACAUUGAACUUCUUGAGAACUUUAGGGAUAAUUCAUGGCUAAAAUUCUCUAAGGAGAGAUUUGCUGAUCAGCAGUUUAUUAUGGGAGAGGAGAAGACAUUCCAGGGAUUGAAGGACUUUAUGAAGUGGCUUGAAGUCGAUGGUGUGGAACCAGUUCUUAAUUUUAAGGACAUUAUAAAGAAUAGACUGAAGAAGUCUGUAGAAGAACUUAUACCUGCAGGACUACAAGUAUCACCUGGAACAGUACUAUUGAAAAAGGAUCCAGAGUUACCUGUUAACUAUAAAUCAGAAUUCAAAUCACAAAUUCUAGAGGCUGCAGAAACAUUAUGGGUUAAUACUAACUCAUCAUCAGACGGAAGGUCUAAUGAACCACAGGAUGAUAAAAUGAUGUCUAAAGCAAAGAUGAUCAGUCGUAUGAAACAAAUUAUACUACCAGUUUUCAUAUGUUUAUUUAUUAUUAUGGAUGCUUUCAUGUUAGGCUAUAGAUUUGUGUGGUUAUGGAAAAUAUUACGCAAGGCUAAAAUGGGAGUGGAUAUCAAAGUACCUACAGACCAUGUGGCUGAAAAAAUUCAGUUUUGGCAAACAGGAUGUAAUAAUCGUAAACUAGAACAUGCCUCAAAAGAAAAUCCUUACAACUUUUAUUCAGAAAACAAAGAAGACAUGUGGUCCGGUAAAAAUGAUCCUAUUCAAUUGUAUGCCAAUACUGCUCAGAAAUCCAAACAGGAAAUCCUGAGAGAAAUCUGGAAUAAAAAACAAAAACAGAAACGUAUAUCGUACACAGAGAGUACUCCACACUCAUUUGUAGCUAGAACUAUUUUUACUUUGUCAACUUUUCUUUACAAACAUUUAAUUGCUCCUAUCCUGUGGAGGUUUGUUCUAGUCGGAGCUUUCGUUUUAGUGAUUUGUUUAGUUACAAAGGCUACUUCAGACUUGGUUAGCAUAGAAACAGCUACAUUUCUCAUAGACACUAAAUCCAUCAUUCCACAGUUACAUAGACAGGUUGACAUUACAAAUAGUUUAUUAAUAGAUGUUACCUCUGACCUCAACAUUAUUUUGAAAGAGCACAAAGCAUUGGUUGAUUCAGAAGUGGCAGCCAUUAACCAUUUUCUGACCAGUACAAUAAAUACACAGAAUGAAGUAUUACAACUGAUACUAUCAGACCUCUGUUCCAUGACUCAUACAGAUAUUUGUAGUCCAUCAUUACUGAGGGUCCAAGAGCUGAUAACAUCUUGUAAUUUUUUACCAGUUACAUCAUCACCAUUUAAAGGUUAGUUUUAUAGUAGAGGAGAACAUUACAUCAUCACCAUUUAAAGGUUAGUUUUAUAGUACAGGAGAACAUUACAUCAUCACCAUUUAAAGGUUAGUUUUAUAGUAGAGGAGAACAUUACAUCAUCACCAUUUAAAGGUUAGUUUUAUAGUAGAAGGGAACAUUACAUCAUCACCAUUUAAAGGUUAGUUUUAUAGUAGAGGAGAACAUUACAUCAUCACCAUUUAAAGGUUAGUUUUAUAGUAGAAGGGAACAUUACAUCAUCACCAUUUAAAGGUUAAUUUUAUAGUAGAGGGGAACAUUACAUCAUCAUCAUUUAAAGGUUAGUUUUAUAGUAGAGGCGAACAUUACAUCAUCACCAUUUAAAGGUUAAUUUUAUAGUAGAGGCGAACAUUACAUCAUCACCAUUUAAAGGUUAGUUUUAUAGUAGAGGCGAACAUUACAUCAUCACCAUUUAAAGGUUAGUUUUAUAGUAGAGGCGAACAUUACAUCAUCACCAUUUAAAGGUUAGUUUUAUAGUAGAGGCGAACAUUACAUCAUCACCAUUUAAAGGUUAGUUUUAUAGUAGAGGCGAACAUUACAUCAUCACCAUUUAAAGGUUAGUUUUAUAGUAGAGGCGAACAUUACAUCAUCACCAUUUAAAGGUUAGUUUUAUAGUAGAAGGGAACAUUACAUCAUCACCAUUUAAAGGUUAUUUUUAUAGUAGAGGAGAACAUUACAUCAUCACCAUUUAAAGGUUAGUUUUAUAGUAGAGGCGAACAUUACAUCAUCACCAUUUAAAGGUUAGUUUUAUAGUAGAAGGGAACAUUACAUCAUCAUCAUUUAAAGGUUAGUUUUAUAGUAGAGGCGAACAUUACAUCAUCACCAUUUAAAGAAAUGGAUGAAGGAUUAUUUGUGCAUUAUUUACAUUCAGAGUUAGUUCCCCUUGUUAGUACAUUAAGACAGAUUUUGUUAAACACAUGUUACAUAUUAUUUGUGUAUGCCUGUCUCAUGCUUAUAUGUCACAUGCUCAUCCGUAUUGUGAUUUUCUAUCUGAUCAAGAAAGGCCAACUUCCAAAAGCCAUGAUUUAUCUUGUGUCUAACACUAAUGACUGCUGGAAAGUGAACGAGGGCAGUAAUACUAAGUCUAUGUAUCGUAGUAACUCAUGUAUAGAGAGUUGUGAGAGUGGAGUAGUAGGGGAUAUUGAAGAUCAUAGAGAGUCUAAUAUGUGAAGCAGGUCAUGUGAUCAAAAUGUGAAUGUUAGAUCCAGUCGUGUGAUCUGAAUGUAAAAUGGCUGAAAUGUGAAGCAUUUAGCAUGAAAUAAGCAUUGAAUCAUGGUAAAAUGUGAAGUAUUAAGCAAACGAAAAGUACUGAAUCAUGGUGAAAUGUAAAUCCUUCUAUUGCUGUUGUUCAAAGGUGAAGACAGAAGUAAUUUAUGAGCGUAGUACAAAAAACUGAAAUAUGAAUAUAUACGAUACGAUACGAUAAAAAUGAAAAAUCCGGGCAGAUAUUUAAAACUUGUCAGACAUAUUAAACUAGGGAGUUUCUGAAAAGGUUGUCAAAUAGGUGAUUUUUAGAGAGAGACCUGAAGAAGAAAAAAUUGAAGAAGAAACUAAGAUGAAUUUAAUGGAGCAAAAUACCCAGAACUUUUUCAAUCAAGAUACUCAAUAUAAUCAGCUUUCAUUGAUAAUGAUAAUAUUGAUUUAAUCUUUAUGAGCAAAAUUUAUUGAGCACUAGAAGUUUGUGUUCAACGUGAAAAAACAAUUUGUGAAAAUUAUUUUAAAGCAUUUUUGUGCUGAAUUUUUGUUUUCUUAUUAAAAUGCAAAAAUAUGUGCAUCUAGAAAUAUAAAGUUUAAAAGUAAUGGUGCAGCUUUUAUAUUACAUAUAUCAGCUUUCAAUACUUUGUCAAAAUAUUUAAGUAGCUUUUUAUAUUAUUAAAAUUACAGAUGCAUUAAAACAGGUAACAGGAUUGAUUACAAGUAGUCCUUGGCAUGAUAACUGAUGAAUAACUUACCAAAGGUCCACACAAGUUUUAUGUACAUGUUGAUUAUGAAAUUAAGUAUGGUAUAUUGUUGUUCAUUUGUCUAUCUUAUUGAAAUAUGAGUCAAUUUAUCCUUUGAACAGCCAUAUAAUUAAAAGUUAUUGUCACAUAGGUUAAAGGUCAAUGAGACACAAAAAUUCAAAAUACAUCUAGAGAUCAUCCUCAGACAAGAAAACAUGCUUUAUUGAUAAAUAAAUCAGGUUAUAGGUUCGAAGUUGGUGUUUAAUGUUAAUUUAUGUCAACAACAAUUGUGAGUCAUGUGACCAGAACUUGUCAUAAUAUUUAUUUAACUGUUGUGAUAUUUGUUAAGUUUGUGAUACUUUAAUAAAUGUGUAGCUUA
Molecule: RNA transcript, 6837 nt
Organism: Mytilus californianus (California mussel)
Lineage: Eukaryota; Metazoa; Mollusca; Bivalvia; Mytilida; Mytilidae
Exons: 23
Source: RefSeq, a predicted model, not a curated record